GUAGCAUUUUCAGCAGGAGUUGGGGACCAGCACGGUAUUUCAUCAGAGAUGCUAUUAACAUCUGUUUAUUUGCAGUUCAUGGUUUAAAUCUCAGUGGGAGCUCAUCUGCCAAGCGGAAGGGUUUCAAAUAAGAUCAAGUGAGAAAUAUACUCUGCUCCAUCCCAGGUCAUGGAGGACAUAUUUUCAUUGUGUCUUUGUUAUUUGUCCUCAAGCUAAAGUACAAAGUCAUCUGGGCUGAAAAACACAUGUUGUUUAUUGUGCAUGAGAGAUGGAUAUACUGUGUGUGGGAGGUAGCAUGACCAUUUGCCUUCUCUCUUCAAGACAAUGGUAAUGCCUGCAAUGAGUCCUGCUCUGAAGAGAAAUCACCUUACUGUAACUUCACCUGUACUGCGGGUCAAUCAUUUCUGCUGAGCUGCAGUUGGUUUUUCCACUGAAGAAGAAACAAACAGACAAAGAAACCCUGCUUAUGGGAUUGACUGAUACUGAGCUGGCCAGGUGGCAACUUCAGUUUGACCAGAGUAUUUAACAUUUUGGGAGCUAAAGUUCCCUUUGCUCUGAGUGUAAAGGUCUGAAGUUUUUUCAUUUCCUCUAGAUUAGGACGGAGUAGUGUUGUGGGUUUUUUUGUUAUUUCUAUGCAUUGGGAAGUGGCUGUUCUAAGGUAGCUGAAAUGGAGCUAAGCACUACUGCUAAUAUUUGCCUUUCAGCAGGUUUGACGGUGACCUUCCUUCCCCAGUUCACCCAAAUGAAAUUAGAAGAUGGAAAGGAAAAAGUUUGCAGCUGGGAUAAAUUGAACUAUUUUGGGAGAAAUGUAAUGCCCCCUAAUUUCAGACUUAGCCUUCCUUCUGGCUUGAUGUUGAAUGCUAUCACUACAGAUAGGCUUGUGGGAGACUGGGAAGAUGCUGCCAUGUGGCUCCACUUCAUUAGGCAAGUGUGUCAACACACGUGCACACUUCUUCCUUUCUUUAGGGCAGUGGUGAGAAGUCAUAGUUAUCAAAUGCUGGCUGUCACCUAA
This 1012-nucleotide long non-coding RNA is filed under the name Phasianus colchicus (ring-necked pheasant). RNAcentral's name for it is "lncRNA (ENSPCLG00000020917.1)". The record is from RNAcentral. Lineage: Eukaryota; Metazoa; Chordata; Aves; Galliformes; Phasianidae.